AACGAACGCUGGCGGCAUGCCUAACACAUGCAAGUCGAACGAGAUCCUUCGGGGUCUAGUGGCGCACGGGUGCGUAACGCGUGGGAAUCUGCCCUUAGGUUCGGAAUAACAGUUAGAAAUGACUGCUAAUACCGGAUGAUGUCGUUAAGUCCAAAGAUUUAUCGCCUGAGGAUGAGCCCGCGUAGGAUUAGCUAGUUGGUGUGGUAAAGGCGCACCAAGGCGACGAUCCUUAGCUGGUCUGAGAGGAUGAUCAGCCACACUGGGACUGAGACACGGCCCAGACUCCUACGGGAGGCAGCAGUGGGGAAUAUUGGACAAUGGGCGCAAGCCUGAUCCAGCAAUGCCGCGUGAGUGAUGAAGGCCUUAGGGUUGUAAAGCUCUUUUACCCGGGAUGAUAAUGACAGUACCGGGAGAAUAAGCCCCGGCUAACUCCGUG
This 436-nucleotide ribosomal RNA is filed under the name uncultured bacterium. Its description in RNAcentral is "partial 16S ribosomal RNA". It matches the Rfam family "Bacterial small subunit ribosomal RNA", at positions 29 to 507 of the family's 1533-position model. The record is from RNAcentral.